Molecule: unclassified non-coding RNA, 187 nt
Filed under: uncultured Glomeromycetes
Lineage: Eukaryota; Fungi; Glomeromycota; Glomeromycetes
Description: sequence contains ITS2
Source: RNAcentral
UAAAUAACAAUCGGUAUGUUGCUUUUGUAACAUCUCGGAGUUGGGUCGUCUUAAUUUUUUUAAGGGACCUAAAAUUUAAAGUACUUGUGUAUUUUCGACGUGUAUAAUUUUUUAUCUCGUCACCGAAUGCCAUGUUUUAUUAGGUGUGACUAUGUUAAGUGGUUUCAUACCUAUAGGAUUUUUGAUU